UACCUUUGUGCCCGAUUUGGUGAUAUAGGCAGCCUUUCUCUGCCUGUAUAAAAGGGAAUUCGGUUAUAGAAUCCGAAGCAGUGCCCGCUACUGUGAAACCCGUCUGAUGAAAAGCAAUUCUCACCAAGCCACUGUUUCUUUUGCCAGAAAUGGGAAGGCGCUUUUCAGGGUGAAGCCAGGAAACCUGCCAAGUCCGAACAUAGAUA
Molecule: non-coding RNA, 206 nt
Filed under: Phocaeicola vulgatus
Lineage: Bacteria; Pseudomonadati; Bacteroidota; Bacteroidia; Bacteroidales; Bacteroidaceae
Also listed under: 1 other name
Source: RNAcentral